AAAAUCCAGGUUUGUCAUCCUUUUAUUUCUCUCUCUAAAAGCUUUUACCUUCAAAUCUGUCAAUGAUCUGUACACCAAAGCCAUAACUCCAGUCCUAUAUUGAUCGCCCAUGAAGAAAGAUAGCCUUCUAGAUUCAUGACUGCGUUCGCGCUUGUUUUCAUUCUUCUCAAUCUUGAAUUGCUGCUUUGUAAGUAUGUGAAUUUCGCAGUUUUCUGCUGCUCUAUUGCUUCGAUUGUCUGGAAUUCCUAGAUUUAGUGCCGAUCAUGAUGGGAGAGAACCCCAACUCUGCUUGAAAGUUGGUGGUUUCCAGCGAAGAAAGCUCACAUUUGGCCAAAUCUGAUCAUUUUGACGAUUAUGAUAUUAUGGAAGAUAUAUAUAGCCGGUGGGAGGUGUAUGUGGCCAGAGGAUGGGAAAAAAGACCAAAACACUAAGGACACCAGCAACACAACAGCUUAUGCAUACAACUCUCUUCCCAAUUUUCAUCAUCUUCUUACUUGCUUCAAGGUAGACUUUGAGUUCCUGUGCCAGCUCCGAUAGUACACACUGCUUCGGCUGUUGUACCAUGGGAAACAAAACGAGUGCUCCUGGGAGACUCGGAAUUUGUUUUAAGAGAAGCAUGUUGAACACGUGACUCAGUCAUUCUGCUUCUUCUUCAUUUCUUGUAUUUGUUUAUUUCAGUUGUAAAAGUCCUUUAAUUUUUCCAGCUUUCUUUUUUUCUUUGUAUUGUAAUCAUUGAAUAAAAUUUGUUUUAUUUUAUUUAAUUACGCGAACGGUUCUUACACAGUUCUGGUUGGUGUAUGCGAUUUGUGACAGUGGUAAGUUUUAAUUUGAUUUUCUUGGAUUUUGGGUUGUAAUUUUUGGUUUGUAGGGUUAUGACAGUGGUUUCGAUUAUAGAUGUUUUAGUGACUGCUGUUAAGAUCUCACGUGAUGGUGUCAUGAAGGUGGGUGUGCAUUGGAGGUGGUUGUUAACGGUGGUUGUCCCUCCGUUCAACUGUUGGCGAUCAAUCUCUCACCAGUAAACUUCACAUACAAAACUCCAUUGAUUCAAGAGAGUGGUGUUGUGAACAUGUAUGUGGAGUUUGAGGAGGCGAUUCUGAACCCCGACGUUUCGUGUGAUGCUGUGGAGGUCUUAGUCAGCUUCUUCUAUUCCAACCGAUGAGUCUCGAACAUUUUAAUCUCAGUUAGAACCACUUGAUGAUCUGAGUCUGAUUCUCCAAGUAGUGAUAACUAUGUUGCUCUUUUCUGUUGUAGCUCUUGCAAUUAGUCAUUAUGUACAAAAGUGUAUAUUAAUUGUAUGUGUUUUUAUUAUCUUUUAUAUAUGUCAAACCAAUAUGAACCAUGAACCAUUGAAAUCUCAA
This 1358-nucleotide long non-coding RNA is filed under the name Helianthus annuus (common sunflower). The record is from RNAcentral. Lineage: Eukaryota; Viridiplantae; Streptophyta; Magnoliopsida; Asterales; Asteraceae.